Molecule: long non-coding RNA, 874 nt
Organism: Phoenix dactylifera (date palm)
Lineage: Eukaryota; Viridiplantae; Streptophyta; Magnoliopsida; Arecales; Arecaceae
Source: RefSeq, a predicted model, not a curated record
UCCAGGUGGCCUCUGUCUUCUUUUUCAACUCUGAUUUAAUUUACCUGAUUGAGCAGUGGCUCGCCCAGGAGGCCUUGGUGGGAUAGGGUGGAUGGAUAUCGGGUGGCGGGUUGGCGAACAGCUUCGAAAAGCUUGGGAUGUGAAAUAGCUGCAGGUCUGAUGCCAUCUAUAUUUGGAAAAUAUCGGAAGCAUCUAAGCAGAUGCUUCUUAGAAUCUAGUUUGGAGAUCAAUGUUUGAAUGUUGAGAUCUACAUCCGCGCGCGCGCGCGCAGACACACACACAGAGAGAGAGAGAGAGAGAGAGAGAGAGAGAGAGAGAGAGAGAGGGCUACAAGAGAGGUGGAGGACAGCCUGCACCGAAGAGCACAUGCUUCAAUGGCGGUUGGAAAGCGCCAAUCUAUUCGCCCACUCUCAAGAAUUUGUUCCCCUUGGGGCCCAACAGUCAGCUUUGUGGCCAGUAGAAGCAUCAUAUGCUUGUUAUGGUGGGGGAAGAUGAUUAAAUGGUCAAGCGAAGGCUGGGAUCAUAUAUGCCUUUUGUUGGAGAGAGAAUUUUACAGCUCGUAUUUGCACAAACUCCGAUCGAGCUGGUUUCCCACAAGAAAGAAUCUUAGGCUGCAUUGUUCUUCAAAUCGAUAACAGACGGGAAUAAAGUAGAGAAUUUCAUGGGAAUUAUUGACAUGCAAAUAUUCUCUGAACUAUUAGUUCUCUCGAAUUUCUUUACUAUAUAUUUUAUCAGCCAAAAUAUUCAGCACUAAUUGAAAAAUUCUUUGCAUGUUAUCUAUGGCUUACCCGCAUGCAUGCCAUUGACAAAAGAUGGCCGAUUUACCAAGUGUUGAAAUCACAACGCUCUCUUAAUGAUAUCAUUUUUGCUUUGG